Long non-coding RNA from Perca fluviatilis (European perch), 2645 nucleotides. RefSeq lists it as uncharacterized. The transcript has 5 exons. Lineage: Eukaryota; Metazoa; Chordata; Actinopteri; Perciformes; Percidae. The record is from RefSeq and is a predicted model, not a curated record.
GGGAAAUAAUGGGGAUGAUAAUAAAGCAGAGGGGGGAAAACCCGUCCGAGGGAAGCUGAAUGGAUGGAGCCAGAGAGACGUCACAGCCAGCCGCAGCCAUGAAGACUGAGCGCUCCAGCCUCCGGAGGCUCAGUCGCUCUCCAUCUCCCCAGCUGCUCGCUCCCUCGCUCGGCUCUUCUUCUUUUUUUUGGAGAGCGGACGCCGCGGCGACUCGCAGACGACGGCGGAUCCCUGGAGAGACACUCAGCGGCCUCACAACACGUGGCUUACUGUAGGCCAGAACUUGGGCCAUGUCCCUUUGCCUGCGGCUUGAGAGGAUGGGUAGCCUUAGGGGUUGGUUGUUAUCUUUGGUUAUCUAGCUGUAUGAGUGAUGUACAUUCUUCAUAAAGCUAGAUAACCGAAAGUAACAAGAAUCCCAUUACACUCCUGAAAAGGCAUCAAGACCCCAAACGGGCCACCCUCAAAAAAAAAAAGAACAGACUGCAAGAACAAGAACUGCAACACCAGAGAAGAAGACGGACGACGUUUAAAAGGAGACGUGGGGCGGAACGCAGCAAAAGGCUACCAACCACACCACCACUGAAGGGAAGCUGGCAAAAAAGGAGACUGAAAAACAGAGAAGAAGGAGGAGGAGGGGUUGCUGUUGAUUCUGCCCUGCCUCUCUCCUCGCCCUCCUCUGCAUCGCCUCUUCCCUCCUCCUCCUAAUCCUCCUCCCUUCCUCCUCCGCUCCAUCCUCAGCCGACUGCCCCCUUUUUCCUGUACAGCGAGACGCAGCCCCGCGCCACCAUCUUAGAGCAACGCUGGCAUGAAAUGGAAGUGGGGAAGACCAGUCGGUGCAGGUGGAUGAUUUGUCGGCGUGCCCAAGGGGGAUCCGAAACGGCCAGAGCGGACGAAGAGGAGGGACAGCAGCUUCUCCUCCGUUUGCCGUCUUUCCGCCAGGACUGAAACGGCGACGGCGCCGACGUCUGCACGCGCUUCCCGCCGUGACUUUGGGACAUCGCCGCGCCGUUCGUACCUCGACGCGUUAUUUGACCCAAGCGGGACUGAGCGAAAAAAAAAAAAAAACGUCCACGGCUGUGGGAAACGAAAGGCUCAGACAGAAGAUCAGCAGCUUUUCCGGUGCGGACAAACUGGUCCCGUAAAUGUUGUGACUCUCGAGGGUGUGGCACUUGAUUUUGUAAUUCUCCUCCUUAUGUGUUCUAUCCUCCAUGUGAAGAAUAUCACUUAAGACAUGAAGCGAUGUGGUGUGGCUUCAACUGACCAUAGGCUUGACUCGUAGGUUCAUUUGAAUGAGUUGUAGCCCACGUUUUGUUUGAUUCCUGUUUUUGUUAUAUAGUUGCUAGGACUCGGAGACACGUGAAUGUGAGACCCACGGCAGCAGUGAAUAAAUACUGCACUGCGAUUGGACGGCUCCGUGUGUCGGCUGACACAAUGGCGAAGGAAUGAGCUGUCGUCUUUAUACUCUAUGCAACUGUUUUAUCUUUUAUUUCAUUUUAUUUUUGGUCUUGGAUCUCCUUUCAUCAUUGGGAUUUUUAUUUUUGGGCUACCAGUUUUACAGAUAUUCCUUCAGACAUCAUGAAGAGAAAUGGUUUUAUAAAAAGGAGCCUACUUUCUCCCGGUUUGUUAAUAUACUGCUACAGAAAUGACAGUCAGUGAGUGUGUGUGUGUGUGUGUGUGAGUGAGUGCGUGACAAAUGACACAAUACAGCUCAGUUUCACAUGCAUUUUGGAGCUCAUAUUCGCAGCCUUAACAGACUUUGAUUCGCAGCCGUGAGCCACAGUCUGAGUAAACGGGCGACCGCACGUUUGAUAUUCCUGAUGGCAGGAGCGUGUUUGAUCAGCAGGAAGUGGCAGAGCCAGGGCUCAUGGCGGCGAGUGUACAGAACACGCCGCGCUAUUAAAACCUUCCCCCGGCGCUGUCUGGAACGCAGCAGCUUGGUUCAGUUACCUGCGUCGCUGUAACGAUCUGUCGUUUGGGUGAGACAUGAUAAAUACAUUGGCUUCAAACACCGCCUUAAUUUCCUGUCCUUGACAUUAACACACGCACGCACACGCGCACACACACGCACACACGUGCCCAAACGUAAUAAAGCAAGUACUAUCGCAGCCUAAUUCAUUCUAUAUUAAUUUUCGGGAAGUGGCAAUUUUUUUAUUACGAUUGAUAAUCUAUGCAAAUCUUUUAAAUAUUACUUUAAACAAGCUUGCGUCUAUGCAGUGCUUUUGCGAUUGAUUCGAGAGGAGACUAUCUUGGUUCUAAUUUAGAAAAUGUAUUCUUUUGAUAAUCAUGCACAUCCCAGUGCUCGAGACAAUUACUCAUCUGCCUGGAUAAGCUUGAAAUUAUGUUUUUAAUCUUAAGCAAAAAAAAAAUAAAAAAUAAGUCACUCCUCUGAUAUCAGUCCAGAGGCAUGAAAACCAUGAAUUGUGGUCUAAAAUGAUUAAAUUGUGCUUGCACUAAAUCUGUUGUUUUUUUUCCCCCCCUUAAAUGCAGAUCAAAGCUAUCUAUUCAGCUUAUUGGCGUAUUGUUUUAUACAAGCAGCAAUGUUUGUGUUAUGCAAUCUAAAUCGCUGUGAUGAGUGUUCACCGCAUGUGCCUUUGUAUGGAAAACUGUGUUAGUAGUAGUAAUAAAAAGGUUUACAUUGAAAACAA